Molecule: unclassified non-coding RNA, 252 nt
Filed under: Glomus sp.
Lineage: Eukaryota; Fungi; Glomeromycota; Glomeromycetes; Glomerales; Glomeraceae
Description: partial contains 5.8S ribosomal RNA and internal transcribed spacer 2
Rfam family: 5.8S ribosomal RNA (bases 1-71)
Source: RNAcentral
GUGAAUCAUCAAAUCUUUGAACGCAAAUUGCACUCCCUGGUAUUCCGGGGAGCAUGCCUGUUUGAGGGUCGUUAGAACAAAAAUCGAAGCGUCGGUCUUUUUUCUAAGGGUGACUGCGGCGGAAUUGAGCCGUCCUUCAAACGUUAAUCCAUGUACAAGUGGCUUGAAAUUUAUCCAUUCGGUACGAUUAAACCUGACUUAAGAUCAACUUUGAACUAGAACGCGCGAGGAACGUACCAUCUCAUGUAGUAC